AGCGUACACGGUGGAUGCCCUGGCAGUCAGAGGCGAUGAAGGACGUGCUAAUCUGCGAUAAGCGUCGGUAAGGUGAUAUGAACCGUUAUAACCGGCGAUUUCCGAAUGGGGAAACCCAGUGUGAUUCGUCACACUAUCAUUAACUGAAUCCAUAGGUUAAUGAGGCGAACCGGGGGAACUGAAACAUCUAAGUACCCCGAGGAAAAGAAAUCAACCGAGAUUCCCCCAGUAGCGGCGAGCGAACGGGGAGCAGCCCAGAGCCUGAAUCAGUGUGUGUGUUAGUGGAAGCGUCUGGAAAGGCGUGCGAUACAGGGUGACAGCCCCGUACACAAAAAUGCACAUACUGUGAGCUCGAUGAGUAGGGCGGGACACGUGGUAUCCUGUCUGAAUAUGGGGGGACCAUCCUCCAAGGCUAAAUACUCCUGACUGACCGAUAGUGAACCAGUACCGUGAGGGAAAGGCGAAAAGAACCCCGGCGAGGGGAGUGAAAAAGAACCUGAAACCGUGUACGUACAAGCAGUGGGAGCACAGAGCAAUCUGUGUGACUGCGUACCUUUUGUAUAAUGGGUCAGCGACUUAUAUUCUGUAGCAAGGUUAACCGAAUAGGGGAGCCGAAGGGAAACCGAGUCUUAACUGGGCGUUAAGUUGCAGGGUAUAGACCCGAAACCCGGUGAUCUAGCCAUGGGCAGGUUGAAGGUUGGGUAACACUAACUGGAGGACCGAACCGACUAAUGUUGAAAAAUUAGCGGAUGACUUGUGGCUGGGGGUGAAAGGCCAAUCAAACCGGGAGAUAGCUGGUUCUCCCCGAAAGCUAUUUAGGUAGCGCCUCGUGAAUUCAUCUCCGGGGGUAGAGCACUGUUUCGGCAAGGGGGUCAUCCCGACUUACCAACCCGAUGCAAACUGCGAAUACCGGAGAAUGUUAUCACGGGAGACACACGGCGGGUGCUAACGUCCGUCGUGAAGAGGGAAACAACCCAGACCGCCAGCUAAGGUCCCAAAGUCAUGGUUAAGUGGGAAACGAUGUGGGAAGGCCCAGACAGCCAGGAUGUUGGCUUAGAAGCAGCCAUCAUUUAAAGAAAGCGUAAUAGCUCACUGGUCGAGUCGGCCUGCGCGGAAGAUGUAACGGGGCUAAACCAUGCACCGAAGCUGCGGCAGCGACGCUUAUGCGUUGUUGGGUAGGGGAGCGUUCUGUAAGCCUGCGAAGGUGUGCUGUGAGGCAUGCUGGAGGUAUCAGAAGUGCGAAUGCUGACAUAAGUAACGAUAAAGCGGGUGAAAAGCCCGCUCGCCGGAAGACCAAGGGUUCCUGUCCAACGUUAAUCGGGGCAGGGUGAGUCGACCCCUAAGGCGAGGCCGAAAGGCGUAGUCGAUGGGAAACAGGUUAAUAUUCCUGUACUUGGUGUUACUGCGAAGGGGGGACGGAGAAGGCUAUGUUGGCCGGGCGACGGUUGUCCCGGUUUAAGCGUGUAGGCUGGUUUUCCAGGCAAAUCCGGAAAAUCAAGGCUGAGGCGUGAUGACGAGGCACUACGGUGCUGAAGCAACAAAUGCCCUGCUUCCAGGAAAAGCCUCUAAGCAUCAGGUAACAUCAAAUCGUACCCCAAACCGACACAGGUGGUCAGGUAGAGAAUACCAAGGCGCUUGAGAGAACUCGGGUGAAGGAACUAGGCAAAAUGGUGCCGUAACUUCGGGAGAAGGCACGCUGAUAUGUAGGUGAAGUCCCUCGCGGAUGGAGCUGAAAUCAGUCGAAGAUACCAGCUGGCUGCAACUGUUUAUUAAAAACACAGCACUGUGCAAACACGAAAGUGGACGUAUACGGUGUGACGCCUGCCCGGUGCCGGAAGGUUAAUUGAUGGGGUCAGCGCAAGCGAAGCUCUUGAUCGAAGCCCCGGUAAACGGCGGCCGUAACUAUAACGGUCCUAAGGUAGCGAAAUUCCUUGUCGGGUAAGUUCCGACCUGCACGAAUGGCGUAAUGAUGGCCAGGCUGUCUCCACCCGAGACUCAGUGAAAUUGAACUCGCUGUGAAGAUGCAGUGUACCCGCGGCAAGACGGAAAGACCCCGUGAACCUUUACUAUAGCUUGACACUGAACAUUGAGCCUUGAUGUGUAGGAUAGGUGGGAGGCUUUGAAGUGUGGACGCCAGUCUGCAUGGAGCCGACCUUGAAAUACCACCCUUUAAUGUUUGAUGUUCUAACGUUGACCCGUAAUCCGGGUUGCGGACAGUGUCUGGUGGGUAGUUUGACUGGGGCGGUCUCCUCCUAAAGAGUAACGGAGGAGCACGAAGGUUGGCUAAUCCUGGUCGGACAUCAGGAGGUUAGUGCAAUGGCAUAAGCCAGCUUGACUGCGAGCGUGACGGCGCGAGCAGGUGCGAAAGCAGGUCAUAGUGAUCCGGUGGUUCUGAAUGGAAGGGCCAUCGCUCAACGGAUAAAAGGUACUCCGGGGAUAACAGGCUGAUACCGCCCAAGAGUUCAUAUCGACGGCGGUGUUUGGCACCUCGAUGUCGGCUCAUCACAUCCUGGGGCUGAAGUAGGUCCCAAGGGUAUGGCUGUUCGCCAUUUAAAGUGGUACGCGAGCUGGGUUUAGAACGUCGUGAGACAGUUCGGUCCCUAUCUGCCGUGGGCGCUGGAGAAUUGAGGGGGGCUGCUCCUAGUACGAGAGGACCGGAGUGGACGCAUCACUGGUGUUCGGGUUGUCAUGCCAAUGGCACUGCCCGGUAGCUAAAUGCGGAAGAGAUAAGUGCUGAAAGCAUCUAAGCACGAAACUUGCCCCGAGAUGAGUUCUCCCUGACUCCUUGA
Molecule: ribosomal RNA, 2789 nt
Filed under: Escherichia coli
Lineage: Bacteria; Pseudomonadati; Pseudomonadota; Gammaproteobacteria; Enterobacterales; Enterobacteriaceae
Description: bacterial LSU rRNA
Rfam family: Bacterial large subunit ribosomal RNA
Source: RNAcentral